UGCAGAAGUAUCUUAAUAUCUUAUCAAGAAUUUCCCCUCGGACACAGACUGUGCUGCAUGAGGACUGAGCCGACUCCCCAGCAGUAUUAUUUUGGCUUUUAAAAUAAUUAAAGUUUGGUCUGGAUCCCCCCUGCCUAGCAGACGAAGGGCUUCCAGCCUAGCCUUUAAAUUAAUACCUGGCACGUACCAAGUGCACAGAUCCAUUAGGGGUAAGUCACCACAACUGACGGGACUCAACUACCGACUUACCUGUUACCUGUGGGAUCUAACACAUCUCAUUAGAGAGCUUCAUCCAGCUCCAUCCAGCUCCAUCCAGACUCCAUCCAGACUCCAUCCAGCUUCAUCCAGCUUCAUCAAGCUUCAUCCAGACUCCAGCUUGAAGCAUGAAGACACUACUGAUCCUCACACUCCUGACUCUUGACUGCUUUCUGCUUCUUCGUCAUGUUGCUGCCGCUUCAGUUGCUGUGGACAGGUUGAGUAAAAGCAGCUGCUGUCCAGAGGAUAUCAAACCAGUAAUCAUCCCCAAGCGCAUGGUGCAGCGUGUAGAGAUGAGCCCAGACCACUGCAAAACCAAAGCCAUGAUAGUCACAACUAAGAAGAAUGUUGUCAUCUGCGUUGAUCCUGAAUCAAAGUUUGCACAGAAGCAUCUGAAACAAUUCCUGGAAUCAACUCCACCACAUCCAGCUCCACCACAUCCAGCUCCAUCACAUCCAGCUCCACCACAUCCAGCUCCAAGAAGAAUUAAUGAAUGAAUGAAUCCGUCAUCACUGAGCUCAUGGAAAUGAAACAACUGGAAUUAGUUCUCACAUCUUUUUUAUUUUCGUAUUUUGGCUGUUUCAUCUGUUUGGUUUCUGCUGGAUGCUGGAGAUGGGCGCCGCCAUCUUGUACUGGGCUAAACCAGUUAUUUAUUUAUCUUUGUUUUUGUGCCGAGUGUGUAAAUAGAUUCACCGUAGUUGUGUGAUUGUCUCAUUGUAUUUAAAAGUCUGGCCAGGGACAAAGAAGCAACAAGUCUUAAAGACAUGACGUCCUCCCAGUCGUCUCUGGUGAUGUUGUUUGUUUUGUCCCUGUUAAAUAAAAUAAAUAAAUGAAUAAAUGAAU
Mugil cephalus (flathead mullet) is the source of this 1098-nucleotide long non-coding RNA. RefSeq lists it as uncharacterized. NCBI's taxonomy places the organism in Eukaryota, Metazoa, Chordata, Actinopteri, Mugiliformes, Mugilidae. The record is from RefSeq and is a predicted model, not a curated record. The transcript is spliced from 4 exons.